Long non-coding RNA from Apis mellifera (honey bee), 3051 nucleotides. RefSeq lists it as uncharacterized. The record is from RefSeq and is a predicted model, not a curated record. The transcript has 3 exons. NCBI's taxonomy places the organism in Eukaryota, Metazoa, Arthropoda, Insecta, Hymenoptera, Apidae.
CUGAAACGACGAUCUUGGUCUAAGCUUACUACCAACCUCGGCUUUGAAUACAGAUAUGUACAUCACCAUUCCCACCAGCAUUAACAAACCUGAAAGAGAAACUGAUUUAAUAACUUGAAACGUUAUCUCUUGCGCCACCAAUUCUCUUGUGACAAUUUCACAAAGUAUGGAUCUCUCAUCGUAACGCGAUUAUUUUGAUGAUGACUUUGAUCUUUGAUUUCUUCGCGCAAGUUCAAAGAGUGGAUGGACAUGAAAUACUUAAUUCUAUUCAGUUGAGAAGAAAUGGCAGAGCGAGCAAAGUAUCCUGGUGCAAUAUAAGCUCGGUGUACUUUAUUACUCACCGGAAACUAUGAAGACCACGCCAGCGACAAAGACGCAAAGUCUGUGUCUCGGGUGAGUAACGUGAGCUGUGAAGUAACAAACUUCGGCUACCACCAGCAGCGAUGUUGCAGCGAAGAAGAACAUUGCCGACUUGAAGAAGAAGAAGAAGAAGAAAAAAAGAAGAGAAGAGAAAUUAGAAAGAGGAAAAGGCACGAGGAACUUAAUUAUCUCUUGGAUCGUCUAACUACGUGAAAAUAGAAAGAUUCAAAGGGGAGGAUUCGCGCAAGAGGAGAAGUUGGACGAAUUCAAAGUCAAAGGAGGAAGCGGCGCAUGAAUGUAAUUUAUAUGCCAUGGGCUGGUAAAUCAUCCCUCCUCUUCUCCUUCCCCACUCCAAGCAUAUUUUUCGCCCUCCACCGCUUCCACCCCCGAGAUUUAAUUGAAACGAAGGUGGUAAAGAAUGGUGACCCGUGACCUGUGAACGACCGAGUUCGAGCACGAUUCGGUGUUAUUAGACCACCGUUCGUCAUAAUCCUUCUCUUUUAUACGAUAUGAUUUAUAAGAGUGAGAUCGAUACUACACCUCUUUCUCUACCUUCUCCUACUCUUUGACGAAACGAGAUCUUCCAUCUUCUUGCAAAACGCGAGACAUGUGUUUCCGUUUUUAAUAUCGCAAUAUAAUUGGAAAGAUGUGAAAUCGAGGAACGUUUUUCUUUUUAUUUUUUGGAAACGAAAUAUUCGGAAUUUUUCAAAUCGAAUUUCGAUGAUAAUUUUUUAUGUGGAAAAAUUUGUUCGAAACACAAUUUUUUAUUAUCGUUUCAUUCGACUUUCGCGAAAGAUUUCCUCGUUAAAUGUUUAUUUUCAAAAUUCGAAAGCUUUUUCGCGUACUCUCUGUUUAAAUUUGAUUUUUAGAUUUGUUGGCGGAUUUUAAAACGAACGGAUCGAUAGGUUUUUAAACUAUUUUCCCUUGGGAGAUUAAGGGAAUCGAAUUUGUUGUUGUUAAAUUUUUGCGGCCAGUGUGUAAUUCCAUUAACAAUUUUCUAGAUUUCGAAGGUUUUAAAAAUAUCGAUUGGAUAAAGGUCUUUGAAAUAUAUAUAUAUUUUUUUUUUCACCGUCGGAUCAAAAUUGUUGAAGAAAUUUUGGAAAAUUUUUGGUAAAUUUUGCGUUGAAUGGUGGAUUGUUAUUACACGUAUUUCGUGGGAAUUGUCGUCGUAAAAAUGGAGGAGGAGGAAUGGCGGUAGAAUCGUAAAACGUCAAAAUCUGUGUCAACAUCCAUCCCGUGAAAUCGAAAUAAUAAAACAUGAAAUCAAACGAAUUUAAUCUGUCAAACGUUUCAUUAACUUAAAAAGAUAUUGAUUAAAACUUUGGGAAAUAGCAUCGGUUCAAGUUUGAGCGAAACGUAUAAUAGAUUGAAUAGAUGAAAAUUUAAUGGGACGGAAAAUAAAACUUGUUAAUAAUCGAUCACCAAACAUUUUCGAAAUUUCGUUAAAAACGGAAGAUUGAAAUUUUGUUUCCAACAGAGAUAUAUUAAAAAGAUUCUUUCGAAACUUGGUGAAAUUUACAAAAUAGUCGGACGAGAAAUUGUCAAGCAAAUAUUUAUUGCCGCUGUGAUUAAACUUUAAAUCACGUAAAAUAAACGUAGAAGAAAAAAAAAAAAGAAACGUUUUUUCUAUUUACGCAACUUCUUCACUUUUCAAUGAACAGAAUCAACACAAUUUCUACUCUACUAAAAACAAAAUACAAAUCAAACACAAUUUGCACUUGUACGCGUAAAUUACAUUUCUCUUCCUAAAAAAAAAAAAACACCUCUUAACUAACCAAAAAGCAAAGAUAAAAGGAAAAAGAAAAAAAAAAGAAGGAGCCGCGUUUUAAAUAAAAAAAAAAAAAAAAUUCUUUAAUCGCCUCGCAAACAUGAUGAAUAACCCCUCAACUCGGAAGUGGGAGCAAAUUACGGGUUAACCGCCAACUAAAUAAUUACGUUAUGCAAAUGAUCAAACAUUCCAUUCGUCGAAGCUGAGCUUGGAAACGGUGGGUGGUGAAAACGCGGCGGCCGUGUUUCCAUUUCCUAUUUACUUUCGAUGCUAGUUAUCAUUAAACCGAAACUAUUACGCGCUUCUCCAUCCCCUCCCUUCCCACACGCGUGGAAAAGAGUGGGGGCGAGAUAGAGGAGUGGGAGAAGUUACCCACCGAUUAGGGAUCGCGCUUAUCGACCGGAAAUUGUAAAUUCGAUUUCGGUGUUUAGAAACGUUAACGGUUAAAUGGCGGAAUCAAAGCGUUUCUCAAAAUCUUUGGGAACGGGGCGCAAAAGGGCUUUGAGGCCUUUUACGAGUUGCGCGAUGGGUUUGUGCGGAUGAUGGUGUUAGCAGGGGCAGAGGGAGGAGGAGGAGGAGGAGGAGGAGGAGGAGGAGGAGGGGAUUGGGGUAGGCGUGGAACAGUCAUUUCCGGUUCGUGCCGGAAGUUAGCCGUAUUGCCUCCCUUCGACAGUCGAGAAUCGAUAUUCCAGGUACGUUCCCGGCUUGCCCACUGACACAGCCACCAGUGAAUACGGUGGAAUAAUAACUCGCCUGCUGUUAAUGUACAAAUCCGUGGAUCGGGUAUAUUUUGGCUCUCAUUUAUGCGUGAACCGGAAUCGGCGCGGUUCUUUGCGUGAUUUCUUGGUUUCGAUUUGCCUCCGGUUAUUCCUGUAUUCGGUUGUAAUUAGCGCGACGAGACUGGAGAAUUUUAGAGAGAGAGA